This 468-nucleotide ribosomal RNA is filed under the name uncultured bacterium. Its description in RNAcentral is "bacterial SSU rRNA". It matches the Rfam family "Bacterial small subunit ribosomal RNA", at positions 328 to 793 of the family's 1533-position model. The record is from RNAcentral.
GUACCAGACUCCUACGGGAGGCAGCAGUGAGGAAUAUUGGUCAAUGGGCGGGAGCCUGAACCAGCCAAGUCGCGUGAGGGAAGACGGUCCUACGGAUUGUAAACCUCUUUUGCCGGGGAGCAAGGGCGGGGACGUGUCCCGGCCCGGAGAGUACCCGGAGAAAAAGCAUCGGCUAACUCCGUGCCAGCAGCCGCGGUAAUACGGAGGAUGCGAGCGUUAUCCGGAUUUAUUGGGUUUAAAGGGUGCGUAGGCGGGCUUUUAAGUCAGCGGUAAAAAUUCGGGGCUCAACCCCGUCCGGCCGUUGAAACUGGGGGCCUUGAGUGGGCGAGAAGAAGGCGGAAUGCGUGGUGUAGCGGUGAAAUGCAUAGAUAUCACGCAGAACUCCGAUUGCGAAGGCAGCAUACCGGCGCCCAACUGACGCUGAAGCACGAAAGCGUGGGUAUCGAACAGGAUUAGAUACCCGGGUAC